This 727-nucleotide long non-coding RNA is filed under the name Homo sapiens (human). RNAcentral's name for it is "non-protein coding LINC01182:7". The record is from RNAcentral. Lineage: Eukaryota; Metazoa; Chordata; Mammalia; Primates; Hominidae.
AGUAGUGUGGGUGGACGAGGACAGCGGGUGGAACUGGUCCUUCUGUGACUUUGCAGCCCCGGCUUGGUGAUAAUUUUUGUGCAGGCUUCUUGACAUGGAAAGCAGAGCUCCCCAGCACAGAGUGAGCCUCCGAAGGGCUCCUGCCCUUACCGGUGCCCUACCCUCCCUUUCCCUGCUUGCUACACUUGGGUCCGGGACUCAGCCUCCCUUUGCAAGCUUCUGCUCGGCCUGUGUGCAGCUGCACUUAGCUGGCAGGGUCAGGCGUUGAGUAGCCGCUCCGCUCCUUCUGCAGCCUCCUGCAGCCCCCGCCAGCUCCCGGGCUCCAUCCCUCACCAUCAGUUGCUGAUUGGCGCCCCCUGCGUGCACAACGGAGGCUGGCUGCACCUGGAGGUUCCCAGCAAUUCCAGGCCGGCUCCAGCCUAGCCAAAGCAGCUAACUUCUCUGCUGUCUCGUGGGCUGAACCUCACCGUUUCCCAAGAGGAGCUGCCUGGCAAUGGUAGCAGGUGAAGGUCAUGGUGAAGAAGAUGCAGAUAUUGGCAAUUUGGAGCAUUAGAUGAACUAAUUACAACGUUAACCUAAGGAACAGUGCAACAGAAAAUGGGCUAAGACAUGGAGCAAGGGGCAGAACGACUCUUGAAGAUGCUGAGCAACUUCUGUGAGGACAACAUGGAAUGAUCCCUAAGGUGGAGCAGGAAGCUGUCAAGAGAGGGGAAAAGGUGAAGGAUUC